UACGUAGGGGGCUAGCGUUAUCCGGAAUUACUGGGCGUAAAGGGUGCGUAGGUGGUUUCUUAAGUCAGAGGUGAAAGGCUACGGCUCAACCGUAGUAAGCCUUUGAAACUGGGAAACUUGAGUGCAGGAGAGGAAAGCGGAAUUCCUAGUGUAGCGGUGAAAUGCGUAGAUAUUAGGAGGAACACCAGUGGCGAAGGCGGCUUUCUGGACUGUAACUGACGCUGAGGCACGAAAGCGUGGGGAGCGAACAGGAUUAGAUACCCGUGUAGUCCCUGAGCGGGCU
Molecule: ribosomal RNA, 283 nt
Filed under: uncultured prokaryote
Description: partial 16S ribosomal RNA
Rfam family: Bacterial small subunit ribosomal RNA
Source: RNAcentral